This 399-nucleotide ribosomal RNA is filed under the name uncultured bacterium. RNAcentral's name for it is "bacterial SSU rRNA". It matches the Rfam family "Bacterial small subunit ribosomal RNA", at positions 359 to 776 of the family's 1533-position model. The record is from RNAcentral.
GAAUAUUGCACAAUGGAGGAAACUCUGAUGCAGCGACGCCGCGUGAGGGAAGAAGGUUUUCGGAUUGUAAACCUCUGUCUUUGGUGACGAUAAUGACGGUAGCCAAAGAGGGAGCCACGGCUAACUACGUGCCAGCAGCCGCGGUAACACGUAGGUGGCAAGCGUCGUCCGGAAUUACUGGGUGUAAAGGGAGCGUAGGCGGGAAGACAAGUUGAAUGUUUAAACUAUCGGCUUAACCGGUAGUCGCGUUCAAAACUGUUUUUCUUGAGUGAAGUAGAGGUAGGCGGAAUUCCUAGUGUAGCGGUGAAAUGCGUAGAUAUUAGGAGGAACACCAGUGGCGAAGGCGGCCUACUGGGCUUUAACUGACGCUGAGGCUCGAAAGCGUGGGUAGCAAACAGG